CGGCGGACGGGUGAGUAACACGUGGAUAACCUACCUAUAAGACUGGGAUAACUUCGGGAAACCGGAGCUAAUACCGGAUAAUAUAUUGAACCGCAUGGUUCAAUAGUGAAAGACGGUUUUGCUGUCACUUAUAGACGGAUCCGCGCCGCAUUAGCUAGUUGGUAAGGUAACGGCUUACCAAGGCAACGAUGCGUAGCCGACCUGAGAGGGUGAUCGGCCACACUGGAACUGAGACACGGUCCAG
This 244-nucleotide ribosomal RNA is filed under the name uncultured Staphylococcus sp. RNAcentral describes it as "partial 16S ribosomal RNA". It matches the Rfam family "Bacterial small subunit ribosomal RNA", at positions 96 to 334 of the family's 1533-position model. The record is from RNAcentral. Lineage: Bacteria; Bacillati; Bacillota; Bacilli; Caryophanales; Staphylococcaceae.